Molecule: ribosomal RNA, 433 nt
Filed under: uncultured bacterium
Lineage: Bacteria
Description: partial 16S ribosomal RNA
Rfam family: Bacterial small subunit ribosomal RNA
Source: RNAcentral
AACGAACGCUGGCGGCAUGCCUAACACAUGCAAGUCGAACGAGACCUUCGGGUCUAGUGGCGCACGGGUGCGUAACGCGUGGGAACCUGCCCUUAGGUUCGGAAUAACUCCCCGAAAGGGGUGCUAAUACCGGAUAAUGUCUUCGGACCAAAGAUUUAUCGCCUUUGGAUGGGCCCGCGUUGGAUUAGCUAGUUGGUUGGGUAAAAGCCUACCAAGGCGACGAUCCAUAGCUGGUCUGAGAGGAUGAUCAGCCACACUGGGACUGAGACACGGCCCAGACUCCUGCGAGAGGCAGCAGUGGGGGAUAUUGGACAAUGGGCGAAAGCCUGAUCCAGCAAUGCCGCGUGAGUGAUGAAGGUCUUAGGGUUGUAAAGCUCUUUUACCCGGGAUGAUAAUGACAGUACCGGGAGAAUAAGCUCCGGCUAACUCCGUG